GAGCGGGUCGCCGCGUGCCGGCC
RNAcentral lists this non-coding RNA (23 nucleotides) under Arabidopsis thaliana (thale cress). Lineage: Eukaryota; Viridiplantae; Streptophyta; Magnoliopsida; Brassicales; Brassicaceae. The record is from RNAcentral.